Molecule: ribosomal RNA, 253 nt
Filed under: uncultured bacterium
Lineage: Bacteria
Description: partial 16S ribosomal RNA
Rfam family: Bacterial small subunit ribosomal RNA
Source: RNAcentral
UACGUAGGGUCCGAGCGUUGUCCGGAAUUAUUGGGCGUAAAGAGCUCGUAGGCGGUUUGUCGCGUCUGCUGUGAAAUCCCGAGGCUCAACCUCGGGCCUGCAGUGGGUACGGGCAGACUUGAGUACUGCAGGGGAGACUGGAAUUCCUGGUGUAGCGGUGGAAUGCGCAGAUAUCAGGAGGAACACCGGUGGCGAAGGCGGGUCUCUGGGCAGUAACUGACGCUGAGGAGCGAAAGCGUGGGGAGCGAACAGG